RNAcentral lists this ribosomal RNA (829 nucleotides) under Micrococcus sp. DEM49. Its description in RNAcentral is "bacterial SSU rRNA". It matches the Rfam family "Bacterial small subunit ribosomal RNA", at positions 100 to 935 of the family's 1533-position model. Lineage: Bacteria; Bacillati; Actinomycetota; Actinomycetes; Micrococcales; Micrococcaceae. The record is from RNAcentral.
GAACGGGUGAGUAACACGUGAGUCAACCUGCCCUUAACUCUGGGAUAAGCCUUGGGAAACGUGGGUCUAAUACCGGAUAGGAGCGCCNACCGCAUGGUGGGUGUUGGAAAGAUUUAUCGGUUUUGGAUGGACUCGCGGCCUAUCAGCUUGUUGGUGAGGUAAUGGCUCACCAAGGCGACGACGGAGUAGCCGGCCUGAGAGGGUGACCGGCCACACUGGGACUGAGACACGGCCCAGACUCCUACGGGAGGCAGCAGUGGGGAAUAUUGCACAAUGGGCGCAAGCCUGAUGCAGCGACGCCGCGUGAGGGAUGACGGCCUUCGGGUUGUAAACCUCUUUCAGUAGGGAAGAAGCGAAAGUGACGGUACCUGCAGAAGAAGCACCGGCUAACUACGUGCCAGCAGCCGCGGUAAUACGUAGGGUGCGAGCGUUAUCCGGAAUUAUUGGGCGUAAAGAGCUCGUAGGCGGUUUGUCGCGUCUGUCGUGAAAGUCCGGGGCUUAACCCCGGAUCUGCGGUGGGUACGGGCAGACUAGAGUGCAGUAGGGGAGGACUGGAAUUCCUGGUGUAGCGGUGGAAUGCGCAGAUAUCAGGAGGAACACCGAUGGCGAAGGCAGGUCUCUGGGCUGUAACUGACGCUGAGGAGCGAAAGCAUGGGGAGCGAACAGGAUUAGAUACCCUGGUAGUCCAUGCCGUAAACGUUGGGCACUAGGUGUGGGGACCAUUCCACGGUUUCCGCGCCGCAGCUAACGCAUUAAGUGCCCCGCCUGGGGAGUACGGGCCGCAAGGCUAAAACUCAAAGGAAUUGACGGGGGCCCGCACAAGCGGCGG